RNAcentral lists this ribosomal RNA (322 nucleotides) under uncultured eukaryote. Its description in RNAcentral is "partial 18S ribosomal RNA". It matches the Rfam family "Eukaryotic small subunit ribosomal RNA", at positions 1470 to 1796 of the family's 1831-position model. The record is from RNAcentral.
CCCUUAGAUGUUCUGGGCCGCACGCGUGCUACACUGAGUGGAUCAGCGGGUCAGGUUGCGCGAAAGCGUUUCCUAAUCUUUAAAUCCGCUCGUGAUGGGGAUUCACGGUUGCAAUUUUCUGUCAUGAACGAGGAAUACCUUGUAAGCGCGGGUCAUCAUCCCGCGCUGAAUACGUCCCUGCCCUUUGUACACACCGCCCGUCGCUCCUACCGAUUGAGUGGUCCGGUGAGGCUUUGGGAUCUGAGCGGAAAGAGCGUUUCGCUGUUUCUGCUCGGAAAACUCAGUCGAACCUUAUCAUUUAGAGGAAGGAGAAGUCGUAACA